Molecule: non-coding RNA, 1649 nt
Organism: Physcomitrium patens
Lineage: Eukaryota; Viridiplantae; Streptophyta; Bryopsida; Funariales; Funariaceae
Source: RefSeq, a predicted model, not a curated record
UAUGGCGAGAAAAUGCAGCUUGAGCUGAAGCUUGCCCCCAUAGAAUGACCCUGCUUUCAGCGCUCGCUCGCUCGACUCCAUCAGUGCCAAAUUGAGGUGUUGAGCCGCAUGGUCUGAGUAAGAGGCUCCUUGUGGAGGUUCAAGCGACCUAAUAUGAUGCAUUACCGAGGUUGUCGAGGAGCUUAGUAGUGGAAGAGUGGAGGCACGUGUGGCGCCGGGGCUGCGAUAGUGGCCAUGCAUUGAUGGAUCGUGUCAUUUGGCAGCUGGUAUUAAUUAACUGGCGUUGAUUUCAGAUUUGUGUGAGGUGUGCUGUGUCUUGUCACGGAAGUGGAGUGUCAAAAUAGUGGAAAGACGGGGGAGAGUGAGUGAGUGAGGGAGGAUUCGUGGAGAAGAAACUGCAUCUGUUGUUACGGGGAUCUUUGGUGGAGGAAGCGGCGGUUUGCUACAGGUUAAGAUGAUGGCGACGAGCGUUUCAUGGCUUCCAUGUUUCUGAAAGAGGUCAAGAGUUCGGGAUUGGAACUGCGGCUGUAACAGAGCUUAAAGGUAGCAGUCGCCGCUAUUAAAGGUAUGCAAUGGAUUGCUGCUUGUGUUCCUCCGUGGCGAACUCGUAUCGACCUCCGCGCAACACGUUGUGUAAGAAUUGCUACGAAGGUGCAAAGUCUAUCAUUGACCUCUGCCGGAAGCUGGAGCAACAGUGGCGCGAUGAUGAAGAUGUAGAGAGAGGAAGGCAAGCAGCUCCGUAUGGGCUGCAGUAUGCAUUUAAUCAGAUUAAGCAGCUAGAUCAGAUGGAAGAAAAUGUGAGUGAGAAGCUUGAGUUUCUUGGGUCACUUAUAGAAGCUUUCCAAACGGGGAUGCACACUGAUGUCGAAUUGGUCACGAACGACGGCCUCUCUAUACAUGCUCACCGCAUUGUCAUGGCAACCAAGUCAUCUGUAUUUAGAGCAAUUUUUGAGUCGGACGCAUUAAAGGAGCCGCACACGGGAGUUGUUCACAUACCGGAGUUAAGCCAUUAUGAACUGCGGUAUCUUCUUGAGUUCAUGUACUGUGCUGAAAUUCCAGCUGAUGCAAUGGCGGAGCAUGGUCAUGCUCUCUUGAUGGCUGCCGAUAAGUACGACAUACCUGUAUUGAGCAAGGAAACUACCAUCUACUGUUGAGUAUUUCUUGGUUCAAUUUAUGGUCACCCUCACAAAAGCAAUGAUUGAAUCGAAUUAUUUUUCUCAUGGUGCUGCGCCGCAUGUUACUUUUGCAGGAGCGGUGGAAAACAUCCCCACAUAAUGGAGACAGGUAAGAUGUGAAAGUUUGAAGUCAUUAAUUUUUCUCAACCAUGCUAUUCAUUCAAAAGGAAAUACUUGUCAUGUAGCAGAGUUGCAGAAACUCUUCACUGUUUACCUGCCAAAUUUCUAACACGAUAGCCUGUCAUCUGAGAUAUACCCGAUCUCAUUUAUUGGAUCCUUAGGUUAGCAUUUCAGCAACCGAUAGCUUUCAGUUAAGAUUGAACUACUACAGUGAAAUCCACUGGCAAGUCUUACUGAAACAUCGAUGAGUUCGCUGCUCACAUGCUUACAAACCAUGAUUCAAUAUAUAUAAAUAUAAAAUGUACAUAUAUAUAGACAUAUAUAUAAAAAAUAUAUUUUAUAGAUUUCUAAUAA